GAUGAACGCUGGCGGCGUGCCUAAUACAUGCAAGUCGAGCGAACAGACGAGGAGCUUGCUCCUCUGACGUUAGCGGCGGACGGGUGAGUAGCACGUGGAUAACCUACCUAUAAGACUGGGAUAACUUCGGGAAACCGGAGCUAAUACUGGAUAAUAUAUUGAACCGCAUGGUUCAAUAGUGAAAGACGGUUUUGCUGUCACUUAUAGAUGGAUCCGCGCCGCAUUAGCUAGUUGGUAAGGUAACGGCUUACCAAGGCAACGAUGCGUAGCUGACCUGAGAGGAUGAUCGGCCACACUGGAACUGAGACACGGUCCAGACUCCUACGGGAGGCAGCAGUAGGGAAUCUUCCGCAAUGGGCGAAAGCUUGACGGAGCAACGCCGCGUGAGUGAUGAAGGUCUUCGGAUCGUAAAGCUCUGUUAUUAGGGAAGAACAAAUGUGUAAGUAACUAUGCACGUCUUGACGGUACCUAAUCAGAAAGCCACGGCUAACUACGUG
Molecule: ribosomal RNA, 497 nt
Filed under: uncultured bacterium
Lineage: Bacteria
Description: partial 16S ribosomal RNA
Rfam family: Bacterial small subunit ribosomal RNA
Source: RNAcentral